GAUGAACGCUAGCGAUAGGCUUAACACAUGCAAGUCGAGGGGCAGCAUGGUCUUAGCUUGCUAAGACUGAUGGCGACCGGCGCACGGGUGCGUAACGCGUAUGCAACUUGCCUCACAGAGGGGGAUAACCCGUCGAAAGACGGACUAAUACCGCGUACACUCCAUCUUGGGCAUCCAAGGUAGAGGAAAUGAAAUUCGCUGUGAGAUAGGCAUGCGUCCCAUUAGCUAGUUGGUGAGGUACGGCUCACCAAAGCCGCGAUGGGUAGGGGAACUGAGAGGUUGAACCCCCACGCUGGUACUGAGACACGGACCAGACUCCUACGGGAGGCAGCAGUGAGGAAUAUUGGUCAAUGGGCGAGAGCCUGAACCAGCCAAGUCGCGUGAAGGAUGACUGUCUUAUGGAUUGUAAACUUCUUUUAUACGGGAAUAACAAGAGUCACGUGUGACUCCCUGCAUGUACCGUAUGAAUAAGCAUCGGCUAACUCCGUGC
Molecule: ribosomal RNA, 490 nt
Filed under: uncultured bacterium
Lineage: Bacteria
Description: partial 16S ribosomal RNA
Rfam family: Bacterial small subunit ribosomal RNA
Source: RNAcentral